Molecule: long non-coding RNA, 333 nt
Filed under: Manacus vitellinus (golden-collared manakin)
Lineage: Eukaryota; Metazoa; Chordata; Aves; Passeriformes; Pipridae
Description: lncRNA (ENSMVIG00005012262.1)
Source: RNAcentral
CCGGGCUCGCUGGCGCAGUCGUCGUUGUCCUCGCAGGAGCUGCCGUCGGCGCCCAGCCUCCUCCCAGGGCACCAGGGGGUCCCACUCCUGGGAUAUCAUCUCCCUUUCCCUGUGGGCACCUCCAGCUGUCCCAUUUCCUGUGUUAUCUCUGGGGGAUCUGCCUCUGCUGCCAGGACACAGCCAGGAGCAAAGUAAAAAUGAAAACCAAACAUCCAAAGCUUCUCCACCCCAAAGAAAAGGCUUCAGCUCUGCCACACGCUUGGAAAAUCAGUGUCCAUGGGAUUUAAUUCCAGAGGCAGGGAUGCAGCCCAACGAGAAAGGCCCGAGGGACAG